GCGGUGUUUCCCUGGUCACUUGGAGGCCGGAGGGGCCGGAACGAUGGCGGCAGCGUCCGGUAUUGUUUGCUGUAUGCUACACUGAGCCCAAAGAAGGGGCCACUGUGCCCUUUUUGCAACAACAGCCUUGGAAGCUGUCCCACCUCUCGGCCUGGCUGGAGUUCUCCUGAGUUCAGGUGGUCUCCCACAGAAGACCCUCACCUGUUUUACAGCCACCAUGACAGACAAGCUGAGAUGUAAGAAGCCUCUCCAUCAAGGACUGAGACAUGAAACCCCUAUGUGAGAAGGCCCCUCUGCUCCUUCCAAGGACUGGGACUGAGACUCCCAGCCCGGGGCAGGUGUGUGGGGGAGGCAAGCUGACCAAAGCGAGAUGUUUGCCUGCAGGUGUGACCACUGGACCAAGAAGGCAAUGGCUCUUGCUUACUACUGAGAACAUGGACUACCUGUUACAUCUAUUCCUUAUUGUAUCUGUUCCCCCCGCCCCCCAUCACAAUUUUCAAUAGAAUUAUCAUAAUAAAAACCUCUGAGUUAGCUAGA
This is an RNA transcript of Agelaius phoeniceus (red-winged blackbird), 537 nucleotides long. It is a transcript of the gene named mucolipin-3-like, with no coding region annotated. The record is from RefSeq and is a predicted model, not a curated record. Lineage: Eukaryota; Metazoa; Chordata; Aves; Passeriformes; Icteridae.